CAUCUGCUACAUCAAAACGGAUAUCAAAAUAGUGUCUCAGGCUCUCAGCACAGAUUGACAAACUACAUGAUGACCAAUAUAGUUCAGAGACAGGUGCAUUCGACAACUAAAACGAAGCAAAAUAUUCAAGUCGUUCCCAUUACAGUACACGAAUUGACGAUUAAACCAGCAGGUGUAACAGUAGAACAAACAACCAAAAAUUUAGAGCUUGUCCUCAAACUCAGAGAGAGGGGUCAUCUGUUCCUUGAGACCCUUCCUCUUGCGGAUAUCCAGCACCAGCUGAGCAGCCUGGGAGCCAGCCUCCAAAGGAUCAGAGCCCAUCAUGUCCCAAUGGUCAAAGACACACUGGGGGAACGCCUGACCAGAGGUUGCAGCCCUCAGUUGGCUGGAGAACCCAAACGACUCGAUGACAGGGAGGUAAGCCUUGAUGUUGUAGAGCGGGGUACCCGGCCUCUGCAUCUCCUCAAACACAUGCCCUCUCUUCUGGUUCAGAACACCGUAGAUACCACCAAGUGCAUUUUCUGGGGCCUGAAUCUCCACCAGGUACACUGGCUCCAGCAGCCUUGGCUUGGCCGUGAGCUGAGAAGCAUAGAUGACCCUCCUGGCAGUUGGGAUGACCUGGCCACCACCCCUGUGGAUAGCAUCAGCAUGAAGAACGACAUCACAGACCUCAAAGCAAAUUCCGCGCAUGUUCUCCUCAGCCAGUGCACCCUCCUUUGAUGCCCACUGGAAACCAGCCACGACAGAAUCCUUGAUUUCAUUGAGAUACUGCACUCCCUUACACAUAUCAACAACCAUGUUUGGGCCAGUGGUCUCAGGUCCAAAACACCAAAUCUUCUUGGCGAGAUCCUUGUCCCACCCAAACUCCUGAGAGAGGAUCUGGGAGCGCACCUUAGGAUCAUCACGUGGGCCAAUGCGGCCAUCAUCGAUGGCCUCAGCGAGACCCUCCUCCAAGGGGCGUGCUUCCAUGUACAGACGGUUGUGCUUGUUGGGAGACUUGCUCAUGACAGUACGGCAGGACUUCUCAAGAACGGUUUCCCGGAAGGACACAACAGGAGGGGAAACAAUAAUUUCAGCACCACCCAUGAAGUCCUCCUGCAGAUCCUUCAGGCAAAUCUCAAGAUGAAGCUCACCAGCUCCAGCAAUGAUAUGCUCACCAGACUCUUCGAUUGUACAGAGAACCAUAGGAUCAGACUUCGCCAGACGCUUCAAACCUUCGACUAGCUUGGGAAGGUCAGAGGCAACCUUGCACUGAACAGCAACACGCACAACAGGGGAGACAGAGAACUUCAUUGCUCUGAUCGGGCAUGCAUCAACCUCCUUCUCAUUAGUGAGUGUAGCGUUCUUCGUGAUGAACUGGUCCAGACCAACCAUAGCAACAGUGUUGCCACAAGGAACAUCCUCAACUGACUCUUGUUUCUUUCCCAUCCAGAUAACGGUACGCUGGACACUCUUCACAUACAGAUCCUUCUUCUGCCCAGGGACAUAGUUGGGACCCAUGAUCCGAACCUUCAUACCAGUAGCAACCUUCCCUGAGAAGACACGACCGAAGGCAAAGAACCUGCCCUUGUCGGAUGCUGGAAUCAUCUUCGAAACAUACAGCAUAAGAGGGCCCUCCGGAUCACAGUUUCUGAUGGCAGUUGCAUAGACAUCAUCAAGGGGCCCCUCAUACAAGUUCUCCACACGAUACUUUUGAGCCUUUGCCGGGGAAGGAAGGUGGAAUAUCAUCAUCUCGAGCAGUGCAGUGCUUGCUGGUAGCCACGUUUGCAUAACACGCUUCAUCAAAGCUUUGCCAAUCAAUUCCUUCUCAUCAGACUUCAUGGUAACAUUGAGCUUUUGCAGCAUGGGCCACAAUUUCUCCUUCUGGUCGUUCAUGCAGGUGUUGAUGAUUUGCUUGAUUGGCUCAUAGCAGAACUGAACAAAUCCUCUCUUGCAGGUAGGGGAGCCUGUGUUCUUGGUUGUCCAUUUCUUGGUGGCAGGGUCAAAGAAGUUCUCACCCCAAAGCCUCUCCAUCAUCUUAGAUUCAUCAACUCCAAACUUAGAUGCAUACAUCUUGGCAAAGUUAGUGAGGGUAAAGGCCCAUCCGUGCAGACCAGCAGAAAAAGCAACAGUCCCCUUCUCUGGGUACACUUGGACGUCACCAAGGAGCUUAUCUUCGUAUGUUGCCAUGAUGACAUUGGCAUUCUCAAUGACACGGGAGAAGGUCUGGUAAGCUUCCUCGCCCUCAACCUGAAGCUCAAGGAAGCACCUGUCCAUCUUGUUCACGGUAAGAACUGGCCUAAUCCUCUCACCAAGGGCUUGGCGAAGCACAGUUUCAGUUUGCACACAGACACCUUCAAUACAGUCAACCACCACAAGAGCACCAUCGGUGAUGCGAAGAGCAGCUGUGACUUCCGAAGAAAAAUCAACGUGCCCAGGCGAGUCAAUAAGGUUGAUCAGGUAUUGGUUACCAUCUCUCUCACCCUUGUAAUUCUUCAGUGACUCGUCAGUCAUCUCAUAGUAAAGAGAGAUACCGGUAGAUUUGAUUGUAAUACCACGCUCUGCUUCAUCUGCACGAGUAUCAGUCAUGCGAACAUCACCAGCAACUUCCUGGGCAAUAAUCCCAGCAGCUGCCACAAGGGAAUCUGUAAGCGUAGACUUGCCUGCAAAGAAUUUAUAAUAGCAUAUAAGAACAGCAAGGAAAUUCAACAUGUGCAUCAUAUGGUAGUACAAUAUUAGGGACAGACAAGCAAAUCAAAAGUUAACAAACACAGUAGUAGAUUACAAUCUAGAGUAUAUAAUUAUGAACAGAUACUAUGUAAACCACCAUAUCUAAAAUAUACAAUGUAUUUCCUACAUGUGAUAAAUAUCUGAACAUAAGCAGUUAACUAUGCCUAAAAUAGAUAGUGCAGCGAGAAAAGAAACAUUAGCUGUAACAGAGCUUAAAUGUUGAAAACAUAAAAGUUAACAACUCAGUAGUAGUAUAUUACAAUCUAAUACAUACAGCCAGCAGAUAGUAUGUAUACCACAAUAUCCAGACAAAAGCAAUACAUUAACUGUAGAUGAAAAAAGCAAUUAGGGGAUAAAUGUCUGUGAUAUAGGCCUAUAGUAGAUAAUGCAGCAUGAAUAGAAGCAUUAGCACUCAGGCACAAUAGAGAGCUUAAAUAUUGAAACAAAAUUAAUCUUGACAUCAAAAUCAAAAAGGCUUGAAAACAUUAAGGAAUGCAUGUAUAUAUAUGCUAUCUAACAGAGCAGUGUUCUGAACAUACCAUGGUCCACAUGAGCAAUAACAGACAUGUUACGAAUGUUGUUCUUUUUGUCCAUGAUACCACGGAGCUCUUCAGCUGUGAACUUCACCAUCUUGACUUCUUAUAAAGGUCACGCUACGAAUACCAAUAUUUAUUCCUGCAGUUGAAAGUUCAGGUAUUACUAAGAAUACAAUAAUAAACAUGAGAAAAUAACUAUACUGAAAACUUUGACAUUGACAUCAGCAGCAAAGAAGUAAUAACCACUACAGUUGUCAGGAACAAAGAGAGGGAAAUUAUUAACCAUUUCAGAAAGUUAAUAAAAAUGUUUUAACAUGCAGUAUUUGUCAGGAUACAGUAUUCCAUUAAUAUACACCAUACUCAUACUUCACAGGAUUGUGAGCACAAAAGGCUAAGAAAAAAGUAAACUGAAAACUCAUACUUCACAGGAUUGUGAGCACAAAAGCCUCGUUAAUCUAAGAUCUACAGCACAACUUAUUUUCCUCAAAAAAAAGAGAGAGACCAUCGAAGUAACACACGAAACAAUCAAAUAAUAGCAAUUUGGGCUCGAGCCGCUUGCAUAGCAUAUGCACGGAUAUGGACACAGUAUCAGGAGGAUACGGAUAUAGAGAUACGAUAUUUUUUCUUUCAGAAAACAUGAUACGAGCACAUAGCAGGAAAAUAAAACUGUCCUAUAUCCUAAAAGCAGUUGCAACGUAGCACCAAUAACCAAAAAAAUGCAGUUUAUUGCGGUUGACCUGUUAUAGCUGCUGGAUCCCGUCCACGAUCUUACAAGUGACCAGACCAAACAAGUGACCAGACCAAACAGACAAUUCGAGUAACUAAGAAUAAGGACAGGAUCCCGUCCACAAUCUUACAAGUGAUCACAGACAAUUCGACUAAGGGACAAGGGACAGUAACAGGGUAAGGGAGAGGGGAAAGAGAAGAAGCUGUUUUGUAGUCGAUUUACCGUGGGCGUCGCCGGAGAUAGAGCUCGCUGCCGGCGCCGGAUCGCGUCGCAGGCGCGGGGGCGGGCGGCGGCUGCGGUGCGGUAGAGAUGGGUGACUGGGGGAGGUGAGCAGAGAUAGGGUUUUCUGUGCUCUUUGUAUAGUAUAUAUAUAGGGGGUUAAUGGGCCAAACGUUUAACGGCCCACAAACUUAAAUGGUCCAAGAGACGUUGGCCCAAAUAUCCGAUUUGUUGAAAAAAAUUAUAAAAUCGGAUUUAGGUGUUCUCUUAUAAAAUUGCAAAACUAGCAUCUUGUCGCUAUUCAACGGCCGAUAGGACACCUGUUGGCUAUCGAAAACUAGUUGGUCCUCCAAUCGGCUCGUCAUUGGCCGAGGCCAGUCUCUUUACUAUUUUGGUUUUAAGAAAUUUUUUUAUAUUAGCCCUUGUUUAGUUUCCAAAAAGUGCAAAAAAAAAUUCAAGAUUCUCCGUCACAUCAAAUCUUACGGCGCAUGCAUGGAGCAUUAAAUAUAAACAAAAAUAAAAUUAAUUGCACAGUUUACCCGUAAUUUGCGAGACGAAUCUUAUGAGCCUAGUUACUCUAUGAUUGACAAUAUUUAUCAAAUACAAACGAAAAUGCUACAGUAGUGUUUUCCAAAAAAAAAUUGGCAACUAAACCAGGCCUAAGCAAAAUAUAUAAAGACCCCCAAAAAAUUAUUAACAAAUAGUUCAGCUAAUCUUUUUAGGAUCUGUUCAUCGAUGGUUUAACAAAUCAAAUGUGAAUAAAUAGUACGCAUGCCAUUAGUGGAAACCCUACGUGAAAAAUAGUCUCUCUCACAUCAUAACCAUUAGUUGACGUAUUAUUUGAUAUAUUGACAACUAGCUUCUCGUCGCCUCCAGCAUGAACAAUCAUGAGCUCUAGAAUUUUUUUAGCCCAAUAAACUAAUAUUUUUAAAAAACAUCACAACUAAAUUUUUAGAAACUACUCGAUAUGGAUUUUGUGCUAGUCAUUUUUUUAGGUUUGAUUAGGUUUUAAAAAUAUUAAAAAUAUUUUUAUCUUUAAUAAUUUUAUUAUGAAAAAUAUAUUCAAUGACUUAUCUAAUGGUACUAAUUCUGCAUGACAAAUAAUAUUAUUUUCUUACAUAUAUUUUAUCAAAGUAAAAAAAUGACUUAUCGAAAGAUAGAGGAAGUAGCUCUUUUAGCCACGUCAAAAUUAAACUGCCAUCCGUCAAUCUUUUUUCAAUCAUCCAUUUUAUCGGCCGAGCAUCUCCCAUUUUUCUUAUAUAAAAUACAAAAAAAAAAUCCGGACUCACUUCCUCUACCUUUGUCGAUCGUGCAUCACACUAUAAAAAGAGCGAGUUUUUUUAGGGAGCUCUCCCUCUCUAAUAACCGUUCGAUCUAAACGUCGUGCUAUAUGUGCCUUCUGUCACCCGUGAUCUUACAUAAUAUAAGAUAUAAGAUUCCUCCUAAACCAAGAUUCCUCCUAGAUUCCAAAAACGGAAUAUAAUAGUCCAUAUUUGCAUAUUGGAGUCCAAUUCCAAUCCGCAUGCAUAGCUUUUCUGAUUUUUUAAGUCCAAUUCAUUAGCCGUUUCGACUUUUUUAAUUUCAAGAAAGAAUUAAGAGCAUAUUUUCUUUUUACCGUGCAUGCUUAAGAUCGGGCAUGCAUGAUCACUUGUUCAAGAAUAUACAUACAAGAUCUACCGGCAAUAGGAAGUCAAAUCAAAUUGAGAUAUAUUCACGCCAAUUUUAAAAAAUCAACCUAUUCAUGACAAUGUGGUAUGAGAUGACCCGUAUGAAUUCUCCUGCGUGAAUAGCGUUGAUCAUGAUUGGUCUUUGAGUCAAUCGGCAACGAAACAAACUUAAUUGGAGAGGCUAGAGCUGGGUUAAGGAGAAAUCUUGGUUUAAUAGGAGUCUUGUAUCUUUCAUGUAAGAUUGAUUUUCCUUUUUUAGGUAUACGAGGAAUCUUGGUUUAGAAAAAGUUUUACAUUUUACAUAUAAGAUCACAGAUGACAAAUGACUCAUAUAGCACGACAUAUAGAUCGAACAGAGAGCCUCCUUGAAAAAACUCACCGCCGCUGGCCGCGGAUUGUUCGAAAAAAGAAAAAAUAAUAUACAUCAAGAUGCAUACAUGCAACUAAUAAAUAAAUUAAUUGGAAAAAGAAAAAUAUGGAUGCGUGGAUGCAACUAUAAUAAAUAACAUCAAUAUGAAUGCAUGCUGGCGUAUGUAUUAGCAAUUAAAAAGAAAAAUAAAUUUGAACACACGUGAUUUUAUUUAUUAUGAUAAACAAGAAAGAAAAAACUAGCAAACGUUUUACAUUGUUUAUAGUACCAUAUUAUGAAUGAAUAAGUGAAAAUAAAAUCAAGGAACAUCUGAUAAUACAAACACGUGCGUGACGCACGUGCAUAUUUGCUAGUGUUUGAAAUCUCCCACUAUAGGUUUCUGCUCGGACUGGGUUCAGCUGAUUAUGAAGUGCGUUAUCUCUGUGUCGUAUCGGCUGAAAGUAAACGGCAACCGGUCUAACAGUUUUGUGCAAGAGCCUGGUCUACGGCAGGAGGAUCCACUCUCCUCCUAUCUAUUCCUACUCGGUGCAAAAGGCUUCAGUGGUUUUGUUGAAGGAUGCUGAACCAAGGGGUAUGAGAGUGUGUCCGAGAGAAUGCCAUGCAUUUGAAGUCUAUUCUACAGCUGUAUGAGAGUGUGUCCAGGAGAAGUCUGCUGUUCUCCAGUCAAAAAAUUGAUGAACCCUGAUUCGCUAUGUGCCCAAGUGCUGCGAGCAAGAUACUUCUCUGAUGGUGAUGUGCUACGAGCCAAACCGAAGAGGAUCAUGUCCUAUACUUGGCGCAGUAUCUUGGCCGGGAUCGAGGUGCUUAAGAAGGGACUGAUCUGGACAAUUGGUGAUGGAAUAACUACCGCUACAUGGACUGAUGAUUGGAUUCCAAGGGAUCAUUUGAGAAAACCAUACACGCCGAGGGCUGCUGACACGAGUGCAUGAACUUCUUGAUCCAACAAUGGACUGAUGAUGUGCUACUUUUUGGCAGGAAGACGAGCGAGGUCAUAUUGAGCAUCCCUGUUCAUGACAGGGAAUGGAUGACAUGAUUGCUUGGCACUACAACAAGACUGGCAUCUCCUCUGUAAAGUCGGCCUACAAAAUCCAAGUUGCCAACAGGGAAAAAAGCAAUGCAGAGCUAGGAGUGGUGGGUCAGUAAUGCUAAUGGCGAUCAGCUGUGGAAGAAGCUAUGACAAGUAGACUGUCCAAAGAAAAUGUUGCACUUUAUGUGGAGACUGUGUCAUAAUAGUUUGGCCUUGCGUGUCAACCUAAAACGCCAGGGUAUCAAAUUGAAUCCCUGCUGUGUUCUCUGUGGGCGGUGUCUGGAUGAGGAUGGAGCUCAUUUAUUUUUCAAGUGCAAAGAUGCAAAGAGAGUAUGGGAAGAUAUGCAGCUCCAUGGUGUGAGGGAUCGGCUUGCACAAGCCAUCACGGCAGUUCUGAAACUGAAGGAAGAAGUGCAGCGAAGGGUGAUUACUUUCAUGUACAUUUGGUGGUCGGAACAAUGCAGAGUUCACGAAGGGGAUGCACAAAGGAGUCCAGAACAGAUCGUCCAGAUAUACUGUAAUAGUCAGUUGCUACUCCGAAGAAUGGGCUUCUCUGAAGAAUAUUUAGGCAGCACCUAUCUCCACUAUAAUUGAAAAACUUUUUGGAACCAGACAAACUUACUCCCCCAACAAACUCAUCCCACCGCAGUCCACUAAUCCGGCCCACUAAUGUUCACCGUAACCAAUCCUCACGCCGCGGUCUCUCCAGGUCAAUCACGGUUCAUCUCAAAAUUGAAUCCACUCCGCCUGCCGUCCAUUUGAAACCACCACCUGCCGUUCAUUUGAAUCCACUCAUCUGCCGCCACAAUCUACGCCUCCCUUCCUCUUCCAGCGUACCAGCGAUCUACGUACAAGCAGAGCACAUACAAGCAGGACACCGCCAAGAGCACGUACUUGACGUCGGCGCCGCCACAUCUACUCUUGUCCUCCACAACGACACGGCGGACGGCAGGGAGACGGACUUUGGAUCGGCAACAGUCAGGUGAUUUUGUGAUUCAUAUACAAGAGCGUACAAACGGUAAAAAAAUAUAAUGCUUUUGCAGAUUAUUUUUGGCUUUUGAUCUUUAGUGUAGACUGUAGGUUACGUUUUACUACCUGCAGGCAAUUUUUUUAUCUUCCUCUAAAUAAUACAAGUAGUAACUAAUAGUACAAGUAUGCGCCGAUCAUUAUAGUGCUUAGGUGUUGCCCCUGCUGCAUGUCAUAAAUUAAACCAUCUAAUCGUCUUGCUUAGGUCCCUGACGGCAACAUGAAACCAUUAGUGAUCUCAGCAUGCAUGGUCCUGUAGUAUAUGCAUAUACAUCUGAAUGGUUGCAUGUACAUCUAAAUCUAUAUACAUAUACAUCUGAAUUAUUCCAUGGUUUCAGAUAUUUUACAAUAGUUGGAUCAUGAAUCAUUUAACAUGGAUUCUGAAUGGUUCCAUGGUUUCAGAUAUUUUAUAUCUGAAAUAUUAUUAAUAUUUUACAAGAGGAAAAAGAGUUGGAUCAAGAAUUAUUUAAUAUGGGUAUUCGGAUGCUCGCGCGCUGACAAAACAAAAAUACCACCUCAUGGAUCUUAAAUUUGUUGUAAGUUGUUAUAUAUAAAUCAUUAUAAAAUAGUAUAAUUCAUUAAAAAUUGCUAAUUUCUACAAAUUCAACAGGAAAUAAUUAGGUUUGAAUGAGAUCCACGAUGUUGUGGACCGGUUAACAAAGUAUAUUAAGAAAAACUGAAAAAAGUACUUGAGUGUUGGCCUGACAUACAAUAUCACAUAAAUGACUGUAGCAAUGUAAGUUAAGUUUUAUUUACUAUAUACUUUGUUUAAUUAAUUUUUUGCACUUACCAAUCAAAUAUUCUAUUUAUGUGUCUUAGAUUCUACUACCGUAUUAUCGAGACGGACUGUAUAUUUUAUUCAUAAUAGACAUGUAAAACAAAAUUGUGCGUAUUAUGGAUCCACUACAAAGACAAACUGCUUUGGCUGGUUUUAGUCAAGAUAUGGUAUAUACAACUACAUUCCAAGCUAUUGCUACAAUGUUCACGUUCGCCAUGAAACUAUCAAAAUCAAAGAGGAACCACUGUAUAUCUUCAUGGCGGCGAGAAUACCCUGCAUGCGUGACAAAGGUUACAUCAAACCACAAAGACUGGUAUUACUUUUGGUUCAACUUUGUUUUAGUUGUAACAAAUAUUUCAGUUUUGUAUGCCAAAUAAACAAUUGAUCUUGUACAGGAACUGGGAGGAUUUCUUGUAUACAAUUUCACGAAGUUGUGGGAUGAUGUAAAAUUGUCACCGAUCAAUAAUGUAAGCAUAUGCAGUCUCCAACUAUAUUUGCAUCAAUACACGAUUAAAUAUUAACAUAAUAAUAUCUGUCAUUCACAGCUGUCAAGAUCACUAAGGACGGAGUUCUUGGCUGACAUUUUGGCGAGUCAUGCAAACAAGUGCUACGACAACAUCCCUGAAGAUAUCCAAUAUUUGAUUAAAAAGUUAGGAAAAUGUAAAGAUAUCUUUAUGUACUGAUGGUUCAUAAAAUGUAUAUAGACUCAAAAACAAUUGUUCAAAAUUAAAAUUCUAAAAAAAUUACUAUGAUUUAUAUAGCAUUUCCUAGCCUUUUCUCCGUUCUGACAAACAUGUAGGGUUAGUCGCGUGCCACCGCUUCUCCACGAGUCGGAACGGAGACACUAGGUCUUGUUUACUUCUAUUUUUUUUUAAAUAGGAAUAGUAACAUUUUCGUUUGUAUUUGACAAAUAUUGUCCAAUUAUGUACUAACUAGGCUCAAAAGAUUCGUCUCAUCAAUUUCGACCAAACUGUAUAAUUAGUUUUUAUUUUUUAUCUAUAUUUAAUACUUCAUGCAUACGUACUAAACAAGGCCCUGAUCCCCUUCUCUCCUUGCACCUAUAACAUGCUAGGGGCAUGUUAGUCUUUUUUUACGAGUGGCCCCAUUCGACGGUUCACGGUCUGUUUAGAUUCAAAUCUUUACAUCUUAAAUAGGUGUUUAAAUCCUUCUUAAAUUUUUUUUAUCUGCAACACAAGACACGAGUCCCUAAGCAAGUUUACACAGUUUUAGGGCUCUAAGAGCAUCUCCAAGAGAUUAGCCAAAUCAUUUUCUAAAGGUAAAUUUGGCUAUUGUUGAAGGAAAAACUUCUCCAACAGAUUUUGUAAAUGACGGUUCAAAUUUAGCAGCUCUCCAUUCCACCUUAUUCGCUCUCUACUUUUAGAUAGCCUACCUCACUAGUCAUUCUUUUAUACAGUCUGUUGGAGUACUCUAAUAUCUUUUUAUCAAAUCUAUUUUAGAGAGCAAUUAAAUCAGUAAAUUUGCCUAGUCUUUUUGGCUAAUCUCUUGGAGAUGCUCUAAGGUCCCAAAUUCCAAAUCUUUACAACCCAAGUUUUACAAGCCCAUGUUUAGAUCUAUUCUUCCAAAAAAUACUCAUUUCUCUAAAAGUUUUGGCUGUAUCUAAACAGGGCCUCGAUGUUAUGGUAGUGUCAUUUUGGGAACAGAAAUUUUAAGGAAGGGUAAAAGAAAGAUUUGAAGUUUCGAUGUCAAAUGGGGAACAACAUUUUUUUAAUGUCAAAUAAGGAUUUUUCUCAUUUAUAGAACUGAGUUACGAUUUUAUAAACAAAUUCAUGCAUGCAUUAAACCCGUCACCUGAGAUAAACCAAAGGAGCACAUACAAAACUAGACAAAACGACCCAAUAAAAAUAGGAAUGAUUCCUAACUCAUGUUCUUAACAAGUAAUUACCCUAUAUCCAAAACUAGACAAGGAAAAAUACGACUGUCCAAGAAAUUGCUUAACUGAUAUCCUAGCUGAUAGCUACAACAUCCAACCCAAAAAUGAGGGUAAUUUUUUGUUGCUCAUUGUCAAGCCAACGUCCAGGCCUAAACUUCACACUCCAACAGAGCCUAGUGUAAUAGCCCAAAAAUUUCUAACCUACCAUGAAUCACACAUGUGCAACACAUUUAGCAUACAUUUGAAUGUUUUUAAUUUAAUUUGAAAAUAAUCCUAAAUUUGAGCAUGCUUCAUUAAGGAACUUUGAGUUUCACUUAAACAUGCAUGCUAAGAAAUUACAUGACAAACUACUAUUUUUCAAACUAUAAAAAUAGAUAUUUUUUCUUGAUUUUUGCGAAAACAUUUUAGGGCUAAAUAGCUUAACCAAAAUCUUAAACAUAAGUAUAUAACAUUAAGCAAAAUUACAAAGGUUAUUAUGAUGCAAGAUAAAAGUAAAAUGGGCCAUGCAUGUUUUUUGGCAUCUACCUAAAAAGUUAUAAGAUUUUACGAGAUUUCUCUGUACAACCGAAUCAUAAAUAUACGCGGCUCAUCAUGGACACAUCCCAAAAAAUUUGGCCAUUUAAACCUAUCUUAAUUCUAUGCACCCUACAGCCGAAUCAUAAAUAUACGGGACUCAUCAUGGACACGUCAAUAGAAAUAUCAAAAGAGCUGCAAAAAUGACUAUACACUUCACAUGGAAAAGGCAAGGAAACAACCAACAAAAGGGUGAAUUUAACUGACAGAUCAGGCAAAGCGUUAUUAAGACAAUAGAAAUGAGCAACACAGGGAAUACAAGUAUGUAACCACUAACUAAACCACACAGAUACCAACUCCGUUUCAUCUGCUACAUCACACCAGAUAUCAAAAUGGAGUCUCAGGCUCUCAACACAGCAGCAUACACUACAUGACCAAUAUAGUUCAGAGACAGGUACAUUAACUAAAACGAGAGAAAAUAUUCAAGUCGUUCCCAAUACAAUAGACAAAUUGACGAUUAAACCAGCAAUAGUAACAGUAGAACAAACAACCAAAAAUUUAGAGCUUGUCCUCAAACUCAGAGAGAGGGGUCAUCUGUUCCUUGAGACCCUUCCUCUUGCGGAUAUCCAGCACCAGCUGAGCAGCCUGGGAGCCAGCCUCCAAAGGAUCAGAGCCCAUCAUGUCCCAAUGGUCAAAGACACACUGGGGGAACGCCUGACCAGAG
Molecule: long non-coding RNA, 12187 nt
Filed under: Sorghum bicolor (sorghum)
Lineage: Eukaryota; Viridiplantae; Streptophyta; Magnoliopsida; Poales; Poaceae
Description: long non-coding RNA (SBIC_LNC000033)
Source: RNAcentral